GAGUCUAGCAUGCGCGCGAGUCAUCGGGAACGAAUAAACCCGUAGGCGAAGUGAAAGCGAAGGGCCGUUUCGCGCGGCCCGAGGUAGGAUGGGCGUCCCCGCGGUCCUAAACGGCCGCGGGGCGCUCCGCACUACCGGGGCGUCUCGCGCUCAUCGCGAGCUGAGGCGCACCUAGAGCGUGCACGCUGGGACCCGAAAGAUGGUGAACUAUGCCUGGUCAGGACGAAGUCAGGGGAAACCCUGAUGGAGGUCCGUAGCGAUUCUGACGUGCAAAUCGAUCGUCGGAACUGGGUAUAGGGGCGAAAGACUAAUCGAACCAUCUAGUAGCUGGUUCCCUCCGAAGUUUCCCUCAGGAUAGCUGGCGCCCGGAGCUCUCUCGAGUCUCAUCCGGUAAAGCGAAUGAUUAGAGGCAUUGGGGUCGAAACGGCCUCAACCUAUUCUCAAACUUUAAAUGGGUGAGAUCUCCGGCCUGCUCGAUAAAUCAUUUGAUGUGAGGCCGGAGAUCGGAUCAGGGUGCCAAGUGGGCCACUUUUGGUAAGCAGAACUGGCGCUGUGGGAUGAACCAAACGCCGAGUUAAAGCGCCAAAAUCGACGCUAAUGGGACACCAUGAAAGGCGUUGGUAACUUAAGACAGCAGGACGGUGGCCAUGGAAGUCGGA
RNAcentral lists this ribosomal RNA (659 nucleotides) under Macrohelodes sp. NLG-2014. RNAcentral's name for it is "eukaryotic LSU rRNA". It matches the Rfam family "Eukaryotic large subunit ribosomal RNA", at positions 671 to 1265 of the family's 3401-position model. The record is from RNAcentral. Lineage: Eukaryota; Metazoa; Arthropoda; Insecta; Coleoptera; Scirtidae.